UCAUAGAUCUAAUUCUCUAUCUCUCUCUCUUUAAUUGACUCCUCUAUCUAUCUCCAUCAGAGGCGACGAACGGUUUGAUCACCGCUGGCUGCCAUUCUUGUGGCUCCCGUCGACCGUUGCUCUUCUCUAACAACUCUUCUGAUCUUCGUGGCCGUACUCACUCUCUCUCUUCUCAGGUAAAUCGUACUCAUCCUCAUUAUACUCCACCACCGGGGGGGCCCAACUCCCAAUCUGUCUUGUUUGCCGUCGUUGCCACCGGUAUUGGAUAGGUAUUAUAAGAGCAGUAUGUUUCGAUCUUCAUAUCCCUCUUUUUCUCUCUUCCCGAAGCCCUUUGAGUUCGAGGUUCUUGUUGAGCAGUGGUUCUAGGUUGAGAUCUUCGUCUUUGAAGAAGCGGUUGGAGCCUUUCUGCCAUGCCAUCACUAACUGUCUUUCCUCUUUUACUCUUACAAUGAAUCCACUCCAAAUGGAGGAUCGAAGGGCGGAGACCGCUGAUUCGGCAUCACCAGUCGCCUAGGUGAGCAGCAGGAUGUCCAACCUCAGCCCUAGUGAACCCGUUAAGGAUAUCUGAUAUCGUGGAGCCUGCUAUGGAUGUCUCACGUGUGAGGCUUUGUUUAUGAUUUUUUUUGUGGUCCCAUAGGACCAAGUUUGUAUCUAAGGAUAUAACUUAGUUUUUGUGAAGAUUGUUUUGAAAUGAUCCUUGACUUAUGUAUAUAUAUAGAUAUCCUAAAUGACUGUCUAAUGUAAGUUAUCAAUAUAUUGUGAAAAGUUUGUGUAAUGCCAUA
Camellia sinensis is the source of this 782-nucleotide long non-coding RNA. RefSeq lists it as uncharacterized. The record is from RefSeq and is a predicted model, not a curated record. NCBI's taxonomy places the organism in Eukaryota, Viridiplantae, Streptophyta, Magnoliopsida, Ericales, Theaceae.